GCUACCAUGCAAGUCGAACGGUAACAUUUCGAGCUUGCUAGAAGAUGACGAGUGGCGGACGGGUGAGUAAUGCUUGGGAACUUGCCUUUGCGAGGGGGAUAACAGUUGGAAACGACUGCUAAUACCGCAUAAUGUCUUCGGACCAAACGGGGCUUCGGCUCCGGCGCAAAGAGAGGCCCAAGUGAGAUUAGCUAGUUGGUAAGGUAACGGCUUACCAAGGCGACGAUCUCUAGCUGUUCUGAGAGGAAGAUCAGCCACACUGGGACUGAGACACGGCCCAGACUCCUACGGGAGGCAGCAGUGGGGAAUAUUGCACAAUGGGGGAAACCCUGAUGCAGCCAUGCCGCGUGUGUGAAGAAGGCCUUCGGGUUGUAAAGCACUUUCAGUUGUGAGGAAAAGUUAGUAGUUAAUACCUGCUAGCCGUGACGUUAACAACAGAAGAAGCACCGGCUAACUCCGUGCCAGCAGCCGCGGUAAUACGGAGGGUGCGAGCGUUAAUCGGAAUUACUGGGCGUAAAGCGCACGCAGGCGGUUUGUUAAGCUAGAUGUGAAAGCCCCGGGCUCAACCUGGGAUGGUCAUUUAGAACUGGCAGACUAGAGUCUUGGAGAGGGGAGUGGAAUUCCAGGUGUAGCGGUGAAAUGCGUAGAUAUCUGGAGGAACAUCAGUGGCGAAGGCGACUCCCUGGCCAAAGACUGACGCUCAUGUGCGAAAGUGUGGGUAGCGAACAGGAUUAGAUACCCUGGUAGUCCACACCGUAAACGCUGUCUACUAGCUGUGUGUGUCUUUAAGACGUGCGUAGCGAAGCUAACGCGCUAAGUAGACCGCCUGGGGAGUACGGCCGCAAGGUUAAAACUCAAAUGAAUUGACGGGGGCCCGCACAAGCGGUGGAGCAUGUGGUUUAAUUCGAUGCAACGCGAAGAACCUUACCUACACUUGACAUGCUGAGAAGUUACUAGAGAUAGUUUCGUGCCUUCGGGAACUCAGACACAAGUGCUGCAUGGCUGUCGUCAGCUCG
This 1016-nucleotide ribosomal RNA is filed under the name Alteromonas sp. RNAcentral's name for it is "bacterial SSU rRNA". It matches the Rfam family "Bacterial small subunit ribosomal RNA", at positions 48 to 1062 of the family's 1533-position model. Lineage: Bacteria; Pseudomonadati; Pseudomonadota; Gammaproteobacteria; Alteromonadales; Alteromonadaceae. The record is from RNAcentral.